RNAcentral lists this ribosomal RNA (226 nucleotides) under Bacillus sp. (in: firmicutes). RNAcentral describes it as "Bacillus sp. (in: Bacteria) partial 16S ribosomal RNA". The record is from RNAcentral. Lineage: Bacteria; Bacillati; Bacillota; Bacilli; Caryophanales; Bacillaceae.
AUCCGUGGGUAACCUGCCUGUAAKACUGGGAUAACUCCGGGAAACCGGGGCUAAUACCGGAUGCUUGAUUGAACCGCAUGGUUCAAUUAUAAAAGGUGGCUUUUAGCUACCACUUACAGAUGGACCCGCGGCGCAUUAGCUAGUUGGUGAGGUAACGGCUCACCAAGGCAACGAUGCGUAGCCAACCUGAAAGGGUGAUCGGCCRAMCUGGGGGCWGCAAACGCGG